GAACACCACUAUCUUGGUGACCGUCAAAGGUAAGUGGGUGCUAGCUGAGGGGUGGUGGCGGCGCUUGCCUUUAAUCCCAGCACUCAGGAGGCAGAGGUGGGCAGAGCCAGGCAUCUCUCAGUUCAAAGGCAGCCUGGUCCACAGAGCAAGUUCUAGGAUAGGCAGGGCUACCCAGAGAAACCUUGUCUCAAAAAAAAAAAAUCCAAAACCCAAGAACAAAAAAAAGUUUUAAGUGGCUACUUGCAAAAGCUGGGACUUCCAGUGGCCAAAGUAGGUCUUGGUUUGUAGGUUUGCUCUGGGCAUGUGGGUGGUUUGUUUGUUUGGCACCCCCGCCCCCCUUUUACCUUAAUCACUCUGACUUAAGCAAGGUGCACCAACCGGGAAACAAAUCACUUCAGUUUAUUGCUGAAAUUAGACAUCAAAAGAUCCCAUUAGCCUUAUGACUGAGUUGAUGAGAGACUAAUAACUCGUUAAUAACCCUGCUAAAAUGGCACUUUGCCAGAGCAAUGAAGGAUACUUGCCAGCCAGCCUUGGGCACGAACCCGUUCUACAGAUGGAGAAACUGUGAGAUCCUGGAGGCUACAACAGGGUUGCUGCAAGCAACUUCUGUGUCCCUCUUGCCCAGGUGGCCGGCUCCACGAGCCUCUGAAGCCUUGGCUCCUGGAAGUGCUGGGCUUUGGGGUACUGUGCGUCAUAGCCUUCCGAUCCUUGUCCCUAGGUCUUCCUGGCCAUCUCAUGAUGCAAAACGCUUUCAGUAUGACUUU
This 764-nucleotide long non-coding RNA is filed under the name Mus musculus (house mouse). Its description in RNAcentral is "long non-coding RNA chr7:49589289-49590053". The record is from RNAcentral. Lineage: Eukaryota; Metazoa; Chordata; Mammalia; Rodentia; Muridae.